GUUUUAACUGGAGAGUUUGAUCCUGGCUCAGAACGAACGCUGGCGGCGUGCCUAACACAUGCAAGUCGAGCGGGAAAGUUCCCUUCGGGGAGCGAGUACAGCGGCGAACGGGUGAGUACAACGUAGGUAACCUACCCCCGAGCCUGGGAUAACCUGUCGAAAGACGGGCUAAUACCGGAUAAGACCACGAGGGCUGCGGCCCUUGGGGGAAAAGGUGGCCUCUGCUUGCAAGCUACCACUCGAGGAUGGGCCUGCGCGCCAUUAGCUAGUUGGUGAGGUAAUGGCUCACCAAGGCGAAGAUGGCUAGCUGGUCUGAGAGGAUGGCCAGCCACACUGGGACUGAGACACGGCC
RNAcentral lists this ribosomal RNA (352 nucleotides) under Acidobacteria bacterium RBG_16_68_9. RNAcentral's name for it is "bacterial SSU rRNA". It matches the Rfam family "Bacterial small subunit ribosomal RNA", at positions 1 to 331 of the family's 1533-position model. Lineage: Bacteria; Pseudomonadati; Acidobacteriota. The record is from RNAcentral.